AAGCGGGAAGAGCUCAAAUUUAAAAUCUGGCAGUCUUUGAUUGUCCGAAUUGUAAUCUAGAGAAGCGUUUUCCGCGCUGGACUGUGUACAAGUUUCCUGGAUACGGAACAUCAUAGAGGGUGAGAAUCCCGUCCUUGACACAGACUACCAAUGCUUUGUGAUGCGCUCUCGACGAGUCGAGUUGUUUGGGAUUGCAGCUCAAAAUGGGAGGUAAAUUCCUUCUAAAGCUAAAUAUUGGCGAGAGACCGAUAGCGAACAAGUACCGUGAGGGAAAGAUGAAAAGCACUUUGGAAAGAGAGUUAAACAGUACGUGAAAUUGUUAAAAGGGAAACGCUUGAAGUCAGUCACGUUUGCUUGGACUCAACCUUACUUCGGUUUGGUGCAUUUCCUUGCGGACGGGCCAGCGUCCAUGUUGUUUGCCGGAGAAGGGGUUGAAGGAAUGUGGCUCCUUCGGGAGUGUUAUAGCCUUCACUCGUAUACGGGGAACGAUAUGGAGUGAUACAGCAUGCUUCGGUGGUGCUUGUGCUGGCAUAAUGGCUUUAAACGACCCGUCUUGAAACACGGACCAAGGAGUCUAACAUGUCUGCGAGUGUUUGGGUGGAAAACCCGAGCGCAUAAUGAAAGUGAUAGCUGGGAACCCCUUUUGGGAGGCACCGGCGCCCCGAGCUGACCUUCUGUGACGCAUCGGAGGUAGAGCAUAUAUGUUGGGACCCGAAAGAUGGUGAACUAUGCC
This 733-nucleotide ribosomal RNA is filed under the name Clavulina cerebriformis. Its description in RNAcentral is "eukaryotic LSU rRNA". It matches the Rfam family "Eukaryotic large subunit ribosomal RNA", at positions 96 to 837 of the family's 3401-position model. Lineage: Eukaryota; Fungi; Basidiomycota; Agaricomycetes; Cantharellales; Hydnaceae. The record is from RNAcentral.